Molecule: long non-coding RNA, 595 nt
Filed under: Nicotiana tabacum (common tobacco)
Lineage: Eukaryota; Viridiplantae; Streptophyta; Magnoliopsida; Solanales; Solanaceae
Description: long non-coding RNA (NTAB_LNC011470)
Source: RNAcentral
GUUUCUUCGUGAAAGAAGAACAUGGCCAUGCAUACCCUUGAUAGGUGGUCAAGGUUUUAUAGAUGUUUCAUGAUAUUUUUAUCAACCAAUUCUAAUUUGCACAUCCAGCAUCGUCAACUUUCUUAGCAUGGCUUUACCAGGUAUAAUUGGCAAUUCACUUGGUGAGUUUGACAGUACUAUUCAAUACUCAAGUUCCUUUCAGUGUGAAACUUUCCUAUUAGUAGCUGGAUUUCAGGCUUGCUUUUUUCAAUGUGAAAGGAGUUUUUAUGGAAGCAAGACACCAAAUUUGACAUGGUCAUCUCUCUCUUUGUCAUGCAGACUACGAGCGAUGGUGCACCAAGCAACUCGGGGGAAGCAGCUGAUUUCGGUGACGAUUUGAUCGAUCUUGAUGAUCUAUUGGACGACGACACUUUUAUGUCUACGGCACCUUGAAUUCUGUAUUGAUAAUAUACCAUGUGUGAAUUAGCAUUUGUUACAUGGCUAUUAGAGUUGUAAAUAGGCUGCACUAACUAGUUUGUAAAUCUGAAACCAGAGUGACAAAGGUAUUUGAGAUUUAAAGGUAGUGCAGAUUGUCAAGUUCUAUCCUCCCCCCCCC